This 88-nucleotide transfer RNA is filed under the name Flavobacteriales bacterium. RNAcentral describes it as "tRNA-Ser". It matches the Rfam family "tRNA". From Rfam's summary of the family: Transfer RNA (tRNA) molecules are approximately 80 nucleotides in length. Lineage: Bacteria; Pseudomonadati; Bacteroidota; Flavobacteriia; Flavobacteriales. The record is from RNAcentral.
GGAGAUGUGGCCGAGUGGUCGAAGGCGCACGCUUGGAAAGCUUGUAUACCUCUAAAGGGUAUCGGGGGUUCGAAUCCCUUCGUCUCCG